AUUGAACGCUGGCGGCAGGCCUAACACAUGCAAGUCGAACGGUAGCACAGAGAGCUUGCUCUCGGGUGACGAGUGGCGGACGGGUGAGUAAUGUCUGGGAAACUGCCUGAUGGAGGGGGAUAACUACUGGAAACGGUAGCUAAUACCGCAUAACGUCGCAAGACCAAAGAGGGGGACCUUCGGGCCUCUUGCCAUCAGAUGUGCCCAGAUGGGAUAGCUAGUAGGUGGGGUAAUGGCUCACCUAGGCGACGGUCCCUAGCUGGUCUGAGAGGAUGGACAGCCCCACUGGAACUGAGACACGGUCCAGACUCCUACGGGAGGCAGCAGUGGUGAAUAUUGCACAAUGGGCGCAAGCCUAAUGCAGCCAUGCCGCGUGUAUGAAGAAGGCCUUCGGGUUGUAAAGUACUUUCAGCGGGGAGGAAGGCGAUAAGGUUAAUAACCUUGUCGAUUGACGUUACCCGCAGAAGAAGCACCGGCUAACUCCGUGCCAGCAGCCGCCGUAA
RNAcentral lists this ribosomal RNA (503 nucleotides) under uncultured bacterium. RNAcentral describes it as "partial 16S ribosomal RNA". It matches the Rfam family "Bacterial small subunit ribosomal RNA", at positions 30 to 523 of the family's 1533-position model. The record is from RNAcentral.